Molecule: ribosomal RNA, 465 nt
Filed under: uncultured bacterium
Lineage: Bacteria
Description: partial 16S ribosomal RNA
Rfam family: Bacterial small subunit ribosomal RNA
Source: RNAcentral
CCUACGUGUGGCAGCAGUGGGGAAUAUUGCGCAAUGGGCGAAAGCCUGACGCAGCGACGCCGCGUGAGGGAUGAAGGUCUUCGGAUCGUAAACCUCUGUCAGCAGGGAAGAACGGUCACUGUGCUAAUCAGCAGUGAAUUGACGGUACCUGCAAAGGAAGCACAGGCUAACUCCGUGCCAGCAGCCGCGGUAAUACGGAGGGUGCGAGCGUUAAUCGGAAUUACUGGGCGUAAAGCGCUCGUAGGCGGUAUGUCAAGUCAAGGGUGAAAUCCCCGCGCUCAACGUGGGAACUGCCUUUGAAACUGGCAAACUGGAGUGUGUGAGAGGAUAGUGGAAUUCCAGGAGUAGGAGUGAAAUCCGUAGAGAUCUGGAGGAACAGCAGUGGCGAAGGCGACUAUCUGGCACAUAACUGACGCUGAGGAGCGAAAGCGUGGGUAGCAAACAGGAUUAGAUACCCUGGUAGUC